AUGCUUAUGCUUGAUCUGCAGGGAUCUUCUAAGAAAUCAAUUGAUGCAACUGAGCCAUCAUUUAGGCUGUAUGGGUGCCAUGCAAAUAUCACAUAUUCACGCCCUCAAUCCUCAGAUGGUGUGCCACCAUUGGUUUCCCAUUGUGUGCUGGAAACUCUGACAUGCCUGGCAAGAAAUCAUCCAAAUGUGACUAAGCUCUUACUUUUUCUUCAGUUCCCCAGCCCGCCCACCUGCCAUGCCGAAACAGUUGACCAGAGGCAUGGAAAGGCUUCCUUGAGGAAGACGGGGAACAACAGAAUGCUUUUGCACUCGUUCUACUUUUAA
This 324-nucleotide ribosomal RNA is filed under the name Triticum aestivum (bread wheat). Its description in RNAcentral is "partial small subunit ribosomal RNA". The record is from RNAcentral. Lineage: Eukaryota; Viridiplantae; Streptophyta; Magnoliopsida; Poales; Poaceae.